This 121-nucleotide small RNA is filed under the name Spisula solidissima (Atlantic surf clam). Lineage: Eukaryota; Metazoa; Mollusca; Bivalvia; Venerida; Mactridae. The record is from RNAcentral.
UGAUACAUAGAGUCACUGUGCCAAUAUAUGUGUUGGUUUGGUGCUAAUGUUCUCGUAGAGUAAACGUCAGUAUUAUGCACCAGUCUGUGUUUAAUGGCUUACUGGUCACCUUAACCUGAGC